This 691-nucleotide ribosomal RNA is filed under the name Salmonella enterica subsp. enterica. RNAcentral's name for it is "partial 23S ribosomal RNA". It matches the Rfam family "Bacterial large subunit ribosomal RNA", at positions 24 to 652 of the family's 2925-position model. The record is from RNAcentral. Lineage: Bacteria; Pseudomonadati; Pseudomonadota; Gammaproteobacteria; Enterobacterales; Enterobacteriaceae.
GUGGAUGCCCUGGCAGUCAGAGGCGAUGAAGGACGUGCUAAUCUGCGAUAAGCGUCGGUAAGGUGAUAUGAACCGUUAUAACCGGCGAUUUCCGAAUGGGGAAACCCAGUGUGAUUCGUCACACUAUCAUUACGUGAAUACAUAGCGUAAUGAAGCGAACCGGGGGAACUGAAACAUCUAAGUACCCCGAGGAAAAGAAAUCAACCGAGAUUCCCCCAGUAGCGGCGAGCGAACGGGGAGGAGCCCAGAGCCUGAAUCAGCAUGUGUGUUAGUGGAAGCGUCUGGAAAGGCGCGCGAUACAGGGUGACAGCCCCGUACACAAAAGCGCAUAUGCUGUGAGCUCGAUGAGUAGGGCGGGACACGUGGUAUCCUGUCUGAAUAUGGGGGGACCAUCCUCCAAGGCUAAAUACUCCUGACUGACCGAUAGUGAACCAGUACCGUGAGGGAAAGGCGAAAAGAACCCCGGCGAGGGGAGUGAAAAAGAACCUGAAACCGUGUACGUACAAGCAGUGGGAGCCCCACCACCAAAGCAUUCUCUGGUGUUGAAGGCCCUGCAAAGCAGCAUCGCGGUGGCGGAGCGUCGUUUGCGACGCCCAACACACAAAACAAGCGGUGAGUGCUUUGGGGUGGGGUGACUGCGUACCUUUUGUAUAAUGGGUCAGCGACUUAUAUUCUGUAGCAAGGUUAACCG